Molecule: ribosomal RNA, 253 nt
Filed under: uncultured bacterium
Lineage: Bacteria
Description: partial 16S ribosomal RNA
Rfam family: Bacterial small subunit ribosomal RNA
Source: RNAcentral
UACGGGGGGGGCAAGCGUUGUUCGGAAUUACUGGGCGUAAAGGGCUUGUAGGUGGCCAACUAAGUCAGACGUGAAAUCCCUCAGCUUAACUGGGGAACUGCUUCUGAUACUGGAUGGCUUGAGUUUGGGAGAGGGAUGCGGAAUUCCAGGUGUAGCGGUGAAAUGCGUAGAUAUCUGGAGGAACACCGGUGGCGAAGGCGGGUCUCUGGGCCGAUACUGACGCUGAGGAGCGAAAGCGUGGGGAGCGAACAGG